RNAcentral lists this ribosomal RNA (301 nucleotides) under uncultured bacterium. RNAcentral describes it as "partial 16S ribosomal RNA". It matches the Rfam family "Bacterial small subunit ribosomal RNA", at positions 509 to 809 of the family's 1533-position model. The record is from RNAcentral.
CAGUAGCCGCGGUAACACGAAGGGUGCAAGCGUUAAUCGGAAUUACUGGGCGUAAAGCGUGCGUAGGCGGUGAGUUAAGUCUGCUGUGAAAUCCCCGGGCUCAACCUGGGAAUGGCAGUGGAUACUGGCUCGCUAGAGUGUGUCAGAGGAUGGUGGAAUUCCCGGUGUAGCGGUGAAAUGCGUAGAGAUCGGGAGGAACAUCAGUGGCGAAGGCGGCCAUCUGGGACAACACUGACGCUGAGGCACGAAAGCGUGGGGAGCAAACAGGAUUAGAUACCCCCGUAGUCCCUGUCUCUUAUAA